GUGCCAGCAGCCGCGGUAAUACGGAGGAUGCAAGCGUUAUCCGGAAUUAUUGGGCGUAAAGCGUCGGUAGGUGCUUUUGCAAGUCUGCUGUUAAAGAAUGGAGCUUAACUCCAUAAGAGCGGUGGAAACUGCAAGACUAGAGUACAGUAGGGGUAGCAGGAAUUCCCAGUGUAGCGGUGAAAUGCGUAGAUAUUGGGAAGAACAUCGGUGGCGAAAGCGUGCUCCUGGGCUGAAACUGACACUGAGGGACGAAAGCUAGGGUAGCGAAAGGGAUUAGAUACCCCUGUAGUCCUAGCCGUAAACGAUGGAUACUAGGCGUGGCUUGUAUCGACCCGAGCCGUGCGGAAGCUCACGCGUUAAGUAUCCCGCCUGGGGAGUACGCACGCAAGUGUGAAACUCAAAGGAAUUGACGGGGGCCCGCACAAGCGGUGGAGUAUGUGGUUUAAUUCGAUGCAACGCGAAGAACCUUACCAAGGCUUGACAUCCCUGGAAUCCUGUGGAAACGUGGGAGUCCCUUAGGGAGCCAGGAGACAGGUGGUGCAUGGCUGUCGUCAGCUCGUGUCGUGAGAUGUUGGGUUAAGUCCCGCAACGAGCGCAACCCUCGUUUUUAGUUGCCAUCAUUAAGUUGGGCACUCUAGAGAGACUGCCGGUGACAAACCGGAGGAAGGUGGGGAUGACGUCAAGUCAUCAUGCCCCUUACGCCUUGGGCUACACACGUACUACAAUGGUCGGGACAACGGGCAGCGAGCUCGCGAGAGUAAGCGAAUCCCAUCAAACCCGGCCUCAGUUCAGAUUGCAGGCUGCAACUCGCCUGCAUGAAGGAGGAAUCGCUAGUAAUCGCAGGUCAGAAUACUGCGGUGAAUUCGUUCCCGGGCCUUGUACACACCGCCCGUCACACCAUGGGAGCUGGUCACGCCG
RNAcentral lists this ribosomal RNA (918 nucleotides) under Synechocystis sp. BEA 0943B. Its description in RNAcentral is "bacterial SSU rRNA". It matches the Rfam family "Bacterial small subunit ribosomal RNA", at positions 505 to 1422 of the family's 1533-position model. The record is from RNAcentral. Lineage: Bacteria; Bacillati; Cyanobacteriota; Cyanophyceae; Synechococcales; Merismopediaceae.